UAUUUUAUCCUUCGUUAAAAAUAAAAUAAAAAUAGUUAAUGUAUACAUAUAUGUUUUAGUUUUAGGAUAUAGGAGAACGUGAAGUCCUGAGAUAUUUGUGAGUUCUAGUUUAGUUUUGUUUUUUUUUUUGGUUCGGUUCCAUACUUCCAUAUAUUUCUUUUGGGUUUUGGAUAAGACACUGAACCUGAAUACAUCAAUUGUUUUUUUCAAUAUAUUACAUCAAAUUGAAGUUAUGUUUGUUUGUGUGUUUGCAGUACAUAUAAUAUACACUUAAUAAGUAAGUGAUUAAAGCCAUACUUUAUGUUAAUACAGUUUUAAAAUUGUAAAUUAUUUUAUAUAAAUAAAAUUAGGAUUAAAUUUAUUGAAAAUUUUAAUAAAUAAUUUUAAAACAUUAAAAAUAUAAAAUCAGAAUUUUAAUUAAAUAUUUUAAAAUAUCAAAUCUCUAAAAUUGCUUUUUGACAAACCGAAUAACUAUUAGAGCACUAUUAGUGAUAGUACCUUAAAGGAUUUCUAACAAUUAAAAUAAUGAAAAAACUAAAAACGAGGAAAGAAAAAAAUAAAUAGUAAGAGACGAUCCUUUCUGCAGGUACUCCAAACGCAACUGUGAAAAACAUUUCUACAGGUGUAAAUCAUUUACUGGUUAAGUUGUUAAAAGUAAUUAAAUAUAAUUAUAAAAAUAAACAUCAUUAUUUUACUAUUAUUAAGAAACGUACACCAUCUCUCAUUGGUGCUGAUGCUCUUAAAUGUAAUUAUGUUGAUAUCUAAAGUAUCAUUUUUCUUUUAAGAAAACAACAUAAAACGUAAUUAACAAAAAUGUGUUAAGAGAUGCAACAAAAAUUAAAAUAUUAUGUGUGUACAAAAUUGAAUCUGGUAAACAAACAAAGAGAAAGAACUAUCUAAAACAAAAUUAACUUUAUAUCUAAACUAACCAACUGAUAAAUAAGAUCGACGAGUUCAAAAAACAAUAAGCCCAGAUGUUUUUUAUAGGUUAUACAUAAAUUAUAUCUUUUAGAUAAAAUAAAUUUAAUGAAAAAUUCAACUAGUAAAAAAUAUUUAAAAAAAGAAAUCAAUUUAAUAUAAUUUAUUUUUUUGAAUCAAGAUAAAAUAAAAUUUAACUAACAAAAGAAAAGAAUAAUUAUUUCUUAUCAUACUUAUCAAAAUAAAAUGGAAGUGAAAAAUAAACUACAAAUAAAUAAUUAUUUAAAAAUAGUAGUUUGAUAUAUCUGUUAACUUUUUUUAUGAUUAACACAGAAUUAAUAUAUAGGUAAUUUUUUUAAAAAACUGUUAAAAUCAUUUAUAUAAAUAUAAAAUAAGAAAUAAAUAUCAAAAUAGGUUAAAACAGCAUCAUACAAACAAACAACUUAUAAAUAUAAUGCACACAUGUAAUAUAAUUAGUUAAAUAUAUACUAUUAAAAGAGAAUCAUCAUAAAGAAUCUACUUAAAAAGGUUGUCGCACCUACUUAGUUAAUUGUUUGGCCAUAUAAUAAAUUAAUCUAACUAUACAAUAUCAAUCAAUGAUUCAAACCUUAUAUUUUCUCCUACAAUCAACCGGAAGUUAGAACUAAGCAAAUCACAUUUAUUUUAAUCAUAUGUCGAUGGUUUCCACCUAGGUAAUUCCACUUUCUUCCAUAUUAUACUUACCAUAUACAAAAGCUAUUUUAGACACAAUGGCAUUUUUAAAAUAUAAUAAUCAUGUGAACAUGAAUCUGAAUAGUAUUUAAUUAUAAAGUUACUCCAUAAAACAUUUCCUAAGUAUUUGAUAGCUUAUACAGUAAAAUAGACUUUUGUCUCUCCUUCUUGCGUCACGUCAUCAGGAAGAGGAGGCAAAUAGUGACACGUUGCAACUUUUUUAAUCUGAACAACACCCGACUUCGUGCUUUUCCAUCUCCGAACAACAGACACACGACUUCUUUCACUUAAAAAUUUCUGCAUGCUGGGCUAAUGGGUUUUCUAUAUGCUGGGAUAUUAAGAAUUUCUAUAAGCCCAUAUAUUUUUCGCGGCCCUCUUCUUCCUCAACUUUCUAUUGUCUAUCUUAUACAAUAAAGUAGACUUUUGUCCCUCUUCCUUGCGCCACGUCAUCAGGAAAAUGGGGCAAAUAGUGACACGUAACAACUUUUUUAAUCUGAACAACACCCGACUUCGUGCUUUUUCGUCUCCGAACAACAAACACACGACUUCUUUCACUUAAAAAUCUCUGCAUACUGGGCUAAUGAGUUUUCUAUAUGCUGGGCUAUUAAGAAUAUCUAUAAGUCCAUAUAUUUUUCGCGGCCCUCUUCUUCCUCAACUUUCUAUUGUUUAUCCUAUACAAUAAAGUAGACCUUUAUCCUUCCUCCUUGUGCGGCGUCAUCAGGAAGAGGGGGCAAAUAGUGACAUGUGGCAACUUUUUUAAUCUGAACAACACCCGACUUCGUGCUUUUCCGUCUCCGAACAACAAACACACGACUUCUUUCACAUAAAAAUAUCUGCAUGCUGGGCUAUUAAGAAUUUCUAUACACCCAUAUAUUUUUCUGAGGCCCUCUUCUUCCUCAACUUUCUAUUGUCUAUCUGCAUAAAAGAGGACGAUUGGUGCUUCUCUUCCUUGGCUUUCAACGGCGAGUAACGCUUCUUUUUGCAUUCAAAUAUGCCUGUAAUGAUCGCAAUAACCACCAUUAAACACUCUCCUUACUCCUGGACAUUUAUUUCAUCAUAGCUCCUCCCAUGGAAACGUUCUAAACCUAGGUCAUAAAUACUGCAGGAUUCAGGAUAUGGUAAUCAUCACUCACAACAAAUCCUUCCAAACUUCUGAUUUAAAGCUCUCCUUCCUCCGAUGGCCACCUCAUGUAUCCUCUAUAUGUUCCAUGAUGAUCCUGCCAUGGAAAAUUGUUUUGUAAUGUCUACGGCCGUAGGUUAGCGUUUUCAUAUCGUCCUUCUAAAGUUUUAUAUGUUUCAUCAUAAGUUUUCAUUUUCGUUGAUUUGGAUUGGAUUGGUGAUUUACAUGUGAAGUUCUGGCUGAUGCGGACAAGUCAAAACCGGAGGAAGUGGACUAAGGCUCCUAUGGUGAAGCUUAUUUUUCGAUAUCCACAUGUGUAUCACUGGUUUCAUAUGUUGUUUGCAUGUUUGGUAUUGGCGUGGUGUCCUGUAAACCAGAAAAACUCUCUCUGACUCUAGCAAGGUGAUGUUCGACUAAUGUGGUUGUUUGGUGAAACUCCAGAUUAUGUUAUGUACAGAAGAUAUGAUCCUAUGUUCAUCAUGGGCGUGUGUCAAAUACACAGUUAUUUGGUGUACACAGCAGCUCACCAGACGUGGUUACAGUUGGGAGGAUGUUUGGCUGCAUUGUUUAUUCUGAUGAACUGGUACCAGUUAAUGGGAAGCUUAUUCUCAUCUCCUCGAACUGCCCACCGUUGAGAAGAUCGGAGAUUGAAGAUUACGCAAUUCUCGCCAAAGUUGGUGUUCACCACUACAAUGGAAAUAACGUUGAUUUGGGGACAGCUUGUGGAAAGUACUUCCGUGUUUCUUUUCUGAGCAUUGUUGAUCCUGGUAAAAAGACCAAAACCUACUUACCUACCUUUUUACUACCCAAAUGUGUUGUUGGUUCUUCAUUGAUUCUUACUAAUGAGUUUUGUCUUUUUGACUGGUUUUGAUUCUGACAUUAUCAAGAGCAUUCUUGGUGAUCAGUGACCCAUUUUCGAUCUAAUACCAAACGUACUCUCAACAAUGGGAGAUUAUGUUUCUGGCAACAAAACGGUAAAAUCCAAUGAGAAAUCUGCCAAGAGAAAGAGAAAGAACCAGUACAUAGGAUUAGCCUGCGCUCUAGAGAAAACUGGCCGCUGAGAUCUAUGAUCAUAGAAAAAGCUCUCGAUAAUUGCUUGGAGCAUUCAACAUCGCUCAAGAAGAAUCAAGAGCUUAUGAUGUAGCUGCAUGCAGGAUCCGUGGUGAUAGAGCUGAGGUGAAUUUUCAAGAGGGGUUGAUCCCUAGCAUCUCCAAUAAACGUCAUGCUUCCUAAGACUUAUCCUAAAAACCAAUGGCUAAAAAAAACAAAAGCUAAAUGUUGGUUCAUGAAUGGUUUAAAAAAAUGAGGCGACACUAAGGCAGAAACGAGUUCCACCACGCUUCACAGCACCUUGGCGCUAUUUCAGACUCAGCGUUCAGCCGCCAACGCAUCUUAGUCGGUACUGCAACAACUCUUUUGACAACAUGGGGCAUGACUAUUUUGGUGAUGUGCGAGUUUUAUGGAAAAGAAGCUUCAGAUGUACACUAAUCAGUCCGAGUUAACAAACACCUCUGUUGGAGACAACAACAUAUACCAGUACUUCAGCUCCGAUCAGGGCAGUAACUCAUUCUACUGCUCUUGAUGUUGGUUGGAGUGACCACGAGCCAAUAUCACUUCAAUGCUAGAUAAUUUGGGAGUUGGAGGCGUUUCCGGCAUAUGUAUGCCGGUGAGAUUAAGAUUUUAACAGGGAUUAUAGGGAGGAGAUGUAGAGAUGCAAAAGAUGAUACAAGCAGCAUAAGAACUGAAACCAUAAGAGGUGGACAGCUCUCAUGUGAGGUCUGGCGACGGAAUAUGGAUUAAUUCUUAUUAGUAACAGUUUUGAUAAGAUUUAGACAGCCGCAUAUAUUUGUAUAAUUUUAAUCAUAAGAAGCAAAAAGAAUUAUGGGUAAUUUUCUUUAAAAAAAAAUCUGAUAAGAGAGUACAAAAAAAAUUGACUGCCCAUAAAUUAUUCACCUAUGUUUGAAGAAGGAUCUAAGGUACACCAAAAAUUUAGAAAAAUGUUAAAAUGGAAACAUAGUAAUUUAAAAUCCAAAAUAACAUAAAACAACAAUAAACACACAACUUUUUUUAAAAGGAAUUUGCAUCUGAUAACCAUAAAAACAAAUAUAAUUAGCUAUAUGGAAAAACACUGUUACUCUUUCCAUAAUACCUGCAAUGUCCCUACUUAUGCAGUACGUCUACUUCUGACACGAGCUAGGAGCUAAGGAACAUGCACGUGUCCUCAUUAUUACGAGCUGAGAAAUAAAACAUUCGAAGUUUUCGAAGUUAAAUCCGCGACGGAGAAGCAUAGGAAGAAGAACAUUUACCGUGGGAAACAUAUAUGGGCGUCAGAGAUUGGAGAUCCAAGAAAUUGCGCCAGAGUCUGGCUCGGGACAUUCAACACGACGGAGGAAGCCGCCAUGGUUUAUGACCUUGGGGAUCCACGGCGAUAGUGCUGUUCGUUUCAUUGACGCAGGUUCCUGCGGUUGCGGCUGCGGCUGAGUCUGCGGCUGCGGCUGCGUCUAUUCCUUUGGUUGUUGUUCGUUUUGCAGCCGCAGACUCAGCCGCAGCCGCAGCCGCAGACGCAACUUGUUGUUCGUUUCUAAGACGCAGGACAUUGCCGCAGCCGCAGCCGCAGACGCAGAAAAUAGAUUUAGUUAUGUUCGUUUGGUUGCCGCAGACGCAAUUUUCAUUUAUUUCAUAUUUUAAUUUUAUGAAUUUUGUGAAUUUAUACAAUUGUAUUUUAAAUAAAUAAAAUGUAGAUUUAAAUU
This is a long non-coding RNA of Brassica napus (rape), 5499 nucleotides long. RefSeq lists it as uncharacterized. NCBI's taxonomy places the organism in Eukaryota, Viridiplantae, Streptophyta, Magnoliopsida, Brassicales, Brassicaceae. The transcript is spliced from 4 exons. The record is from RefSeq and is a predicted model, not a curated record.